Molecule: ribosomal RNA, 253 nt
Filed under: uncultured bacterium
Lineage: Bacteria
Description: partial 16S ribosomal RNA
Rfam family: Bacterial small subunit ribosomal RNA
Source: RNAcentral
UACGUAGGGUGCGGGCGUUGUCCGGAAUUAUUGGGCGUAAAGAGCUUGUAGGCGGUUUGUCGCGUCUGCUGUGAAAAUCCGGGGCUCAACCCCGGACUUGCAGUGGGUACGGGCAGACUAGAGUGUGGUAGGGGAGACUGGAAUUCCUGGUGUAGCGGUGGAAUGCGCAGAUAUCAGGAGGAACACCGAUGGCGAAGGCAGGUCUCUGGGCCACUACUGACGCUGAGAAGCGAAAGCAUGGGGAGCGAACAGG